RNAcentral lists this ribosomal RNA (481 nucleotides) under uncultured Actinomycetales bacterium. Its description in RNAcentral is "bacterial SSU rRNA". It matches the Rfam family "Bacterial small subunit ribosomal RNA", at positions 8 to 507 of the family's 1533-position model. Lineage: Bacteria; Bacillati; Actinomycetota; Actinomycetes; Actinomycetales. The record is from RNAcentral.
AGAGUUUGAUCCUGGCUCAGGACGAACGCUGGCGGCGUGCUUAACACAUGCAAGUCGAGCGGAAAGGCCCUUCGGGGUACUCGAGCGGCGAACGGGUGAGUAACACGUGAGCAACCUGCCCUUAGCUUCGGGAUAGCUCCGGGAAAUCGGAAUUAAUACCGGAUAUGACCACGGCCGACAUCGGCCAUGGUGGAAAGUUUUUCGGCUAGGGAUGGACUCGCGGCCUAUCAGCUAGUUGGUGAGGUAACGGCCCACCAAGGCGACGACGGGUAGCCGGCCUGAGAGGGCGACCGGCCACACUGGGACUGAGACACGGCCCAGACUCCUACGGGAGGCAGCAGUGGGGAAUAUUGCGCAAUGGGCGAAAGCCUGACGCAGCGACGCCGCGUGGGGGAUGAAGGCCUUCGGGUUGUAAACCCCUUUCAGCAGGGACGAAGCGAGAGUGACGGUACCUGCAGAAGAAGCGCCGGCUAACUACGUG